GUGGACUUUGGCGGGAGUAGCUCAUGGAUGCAACUCGGUUUUCCAUGCAGUCACCCCACCAUUCAUUCAUCAUUCACUUAUUCCUCAAAGGUCAGUGGCCGCUGCAGAAACAGUGCCAAGAGUUAGGGAUCCAGCGAUGAAACAAAACCCAGCCUUCUCCCUGGAGUUUGUAAUGAAGGAAGUGAGACCAGGAACGCACGAGCAAAAUACAAGCGUAUACCGUCGUGGUGUUUGCAGAGGCUGUUUCUGCGAGUCCCGUAACUGGCCCAGGUCACAGCUGGUGGAGUAAAGCAGAGCAGACAGUGCUGUAUUCGGAUACAAAGUUCCAUGGACCGUGUAGCUGGAUUUUUAAAGAAAUGACAGCUCAGAGAUGGGGAUUCCUUGGUGGCAGCUGGAGAAGUUCCUCUCGGCAUCCCUAUUAUCUUAGAGACAGAGGAGUCCGGGAAGCAAGAGUUUAACAGAAUGAAGCUCUGCCUCAUCCAGUGUCGUCCUUACAAGCACCGCCAUGUUGGAGCUCAGUACUUCAGCCACUGUGUUAAUCAUCUCAUCGAGGGACUUCCUCCUUUUCCUGACACGCUACCAAGUGUGAUACUUUCUCCAAGAGCUGGCCCCUCUUUGAUAAUGUGGCCAAAGUGCAUGAAACAAAGCCUCGCCAUCCUCACUCUGGAGAAGCCUUUGGCUGUAGUUUUAUGAUAGAUUUGCUUGUUUCUUGAAGUCCAUAGCAUAUCAACCCCAUUCUGCGGUAUAUAGCUACGAGAUGAAAAGCAAUGACAAGGAAAGGUACAUGCACCCCAAUGAUUACAGAAGCACUGUUCACAAUAGUCAAAAUGCCGACCAACCUAGAUAUCCAUCAACAAACAUAAAUACACAAAAUGGGGUACAUGCACAAAAAUAUUAGCCACGGAGAGAAUUGAAGUGAUACAUGCAACACGAACGAACCUUCAAAACAUGAUGCGGAGUUAAAACACGCCACUCACAAAGGGGCACCUCUGAGGGUAAGUCAAAAAGUAUUGCUAGUCGGGUUCCAGUUCACACACAUCUAUCCACACAGAAAGACGAGACAAAAGAUCAACAGAGACCAUGCAGCCAGAAGGCAGUGGAACCUCUGAGGCGCCUAAAGAAAAACUACCAACACAGAAUGUGAUUUGCAGCAAAAAUAUCUUUCAAAACUCCAAAGUGAAAUAAAGCUUUCUUCAGACAAACCAAUCUGAAGAGUUCGCUGCCAGCAGACCUGUACUACAUCUCUUUGGGCAGAAAAUACUGAUAGAAAUUUGCAACUAUACAAACAAAAGAAGAAUGCUAGAAAUGAUGGCUAUGCAGGAAUGUGUAUUUUUGCUUAAUAUUUUAAUUUUCCUAAAAGAUGAAAAUUUCCACUGAGGCUAGGACAGCACAAUUACUGUAAUUACUGCCAAUAAACCUUCAAAACUA
Molecule: long non-coding RNA, 1428 nt
Organism: Echinops telfairi (small Madagascar hedgehog)
Lineage: Eukaryota; Metazoa; Chordata; Mammalia; Afrosoricida; Tenrecidae
Exons: 4
Source: RefSeq, a predicted model, not a curated record